CCUACGGGCGGCAGCAGUGGGGAAUUUUGGACAAUGGGCGCAAGCCUGAUCCAGCUAUUCCGCGUGUGGGAAGACGGCCUUCGGGUUGUAAACCACUUUUGUAGAGAACGAAAAGUCUAUUGAUACUACCGAUAGAUGAUGACGGUACUCUAAGAAUAAGCACCGGCUAACUACGUGCCAGCAGCCGCGGUAAUACGUAGGGUGCGAGCGUUAAUCGGAAUUACUGGGCGUAAAGGAUGUGCAGGCGGUUUUGCAAGAUGCAUUGGAAAGCCCCGGGCUUAACCUGGGAAGGCAAUACAUGACUGCAAGACUAGAGUGCGUCAGAGGGGGGUGGAAUUCCAAGUGUAGCAGUGAAAUGCGUAGAUAUUUGGAAGAACACCGAUGGCGAAGGCAGCCCCCUGGAACGCAACUGACGCUCAUACACGAAAGCGUGGGGAGCAAACAGGAUUAGAUACCCCAGUAGUC
This 465-nucleotide ribosomal RNA is filed under the name uncultured bacterium. Its description in RNAcentral is "partial 16S ribosomal RNA". It matches the Rfam family "Bacterial small subunit ribosomal RNA", at positions 338 to 795 of the family's 1533-position model. The record is from RNAcentral.